This 253-nucleotide ribosomal RNA is filed under the name uncultured bacterium. Its description in RNAcentral is "partial 16S ribosomal RNA". It matches the Rfam family "Bacterial small subunit ribosomal RNA", at positions 524 to 776 of the family's 1533-position model. The record is from RNAcentral.
GACGUAGGAUGCAAGCGUUGUCCGGAUUUAUUGGGCGUAAAGAGUUCGUAGGCGGUUACUUAAGUCUGGUGUUAAAUACUGGAGCUCAACUCCAGCAUGGCAUUGGAAACUGGGUGGCUAGAGUGCGGUAGAGGUCUCGGGAAUUCCAGGUGUAGCGGUGAAAUGCGUAGAUAUCUGCAGGGACACCCGUGGCGAAAGCGGCGCGCUGGACCACUACUGACGCUGAGGAACGAAAGCUAGGGGAGCAAACAGG